GUGAGGAAUUUUCCGCAAUGGGCGAAAGCCUGACGGAGCAAUGCCGCGUGAAGGAUGAAGGCCUAUGGGUUGUAAACUUCUUUUCUCAGAAAAGAAUUAUGACGGUAUCUGAGGAAUAAGCAUCGGCUAACUCUGUGCCAGCAGCCGCGGUAAGACAGAGGAUGCAAGCGUUAUCCGGAAUGAUUGGGCGGAAAGCGUCUGUAGGUUGUUUAAAAAGUAUUCUGUCAAAGAUUAGGGCUUAACCCUAGAUAGGCAGAAUAAACUUUUAAGCUAGAGUUUGGUAGAGGCAGAGGGAAUUCCCGGUGGAGCGGUGAAAUGCGUAGAUAUCAGGAGGAACACCAAAGGCGAAGGCACUCUGCUGGGCCAAUACUAACACUGAGAGACGAAAGCGAGGGGAGCAAAUGGGAUUAGAUACCCGAGUAGUCC
This 426-nucleotide ribosomal RNA is filed under the name uncultured bacterium. Its description in RNAcentral is "bacterial SSU rRNA". It matches the Rfam family "Bacterial small subunit ribosomal RNA", at positions 354 to 796 of the family's 1533-position model. The record is from RNAcentral.